GGGCGGUUAGCUCAGCGGUUAGAGCGCCUCGUUCACACCGAGGAGGUCGGAGGUUCAAAUCCUCCAUCGCCCACCA
RNAcentral lists this transfer RNA (76 nucleotides) under Chloroflexota bacterium. RNAcentral describes it as "Chloroflexi bacterium tRNA-Val". It matches the Rfam family "tRNA". From Rfam's summary of the family: Transfer RNA (tRNA) molecules are approximately 80 nucleotides in length. Their secondary structure includes four short double-helical elements and three loops (D, anti-codon, and T loops). The record is from RNAcentral. RNAcentral also lists the same sequence under 2 other names. Lineage: Bacteria; Bacillati; Chloroflexota.